GGGGCCGGUGGCGGGGGCCGCCGCGACGACCCGGGACGUCGCCGGCGGACCGCCGGGCGCGACGGCGUCGGCCACG
This 76-nucleotide transfer RNA is filed under the name Pseudonocardia hydrocarbonoxydans. Its description in RNAcentral is "tRNA-Pro". The record is from RNAcentral. Lineage: Bacteria; Bacillati; Actinomycetota; Actinomycetes; Pseudonocardiales; Pseudonocardiaceae.